GGUAACCAACGUUGUGUCGGGGUACCCGUAUUUGAAAAGCUUGCUCCGAUAUGACGAUGGACAUUGCAAAGAGUGGCGAACGGGUGAGUAACACGUGGGAAACCUACCUCUUAGCAGGGGAUAACAUUUGGAAACAGAUGCUAAUACCGUAUAACAAUGACAACCGCAUGGUUGUUAUUUAAAAGAUGGUUCUGCUAUCACUAAGAGAUGGUCCCGCGGUGCAUUAGCUAGUUGGUAAGGUAAUGGCUUACCAAGGCGAUGAUGCAUAGCCGAGUUGAGAGACUGAUCGGCCACAAUGGGACUGAGACACGGCCCAUACUCCUACGGGAGGCAGCAGUAGGGAAUCUUCCACAAUGGGCGAAAGCCUGAUGGAGCAACGCCGCGUGUGUGAUGAAGGGUUUCGGCUCGUAAAACACUGUUGUAAGAGAAGAAUGACAUUGAGAGUAACUGUUCAAUGUGUGACGGUAUCUUACCAGAAAGGAACGGCUAAAUACGUGCCAGCAGCCGCGGUAAUACGUAUGUUCCAAGCGUUAUCCGGAUUUAUUGGGCGUAAAGCGAGCGCAGACGGUUAUUUAAGUCUGAAGUGAAAGCCCUCAGCUCAACUGAGGAAUUGCUUUGGAAACUGGAUGACUUGAGUGCAGUAGAGGAAAGUGGAACUCCAUGUGUAGCGGUGAAAUGCGUAGAUAUAUGGAAGAACACCAGUGGCGAAGGCGGCUUUCUGGACUGUAACUGACGUUGAGGCUCGAAAGUGUGGGUAGCAAACAGGAUUAGAUACCCUGGUAGUCCACACCGUAAACGAUGAGUGCUAGGUGUUUGAGGGUUUCCGCCCUUAAGUGCCGCAGCUAACGCAUUAAGCACUCCGCCUGGGGAGUACGACCGCAAGGUUGAAACUCAAAGGAAUUGACGGGGACCCGCACAAGCGGUGGAGCAUGUGGUUUAAUUCGAAGCAACGCGAAGAACCUUACCAGGUCUUGACAUCCCUUGACAACUCCAGAGAUGGAGCGUUCCCUUCGGGGACAAGGUGACAGGUGGUGCAUGGUUGUCGUCAGCUCGUGUCGUGAGAUGUUGGGUUAAGUCCCGCAACGAGCGCAACCCUUAUUACUAGUUGCCAGCAUUCAGUUGGGCACUCUAGUGAGACUGCCGGUGACAAACCGGAGGAAGGUGGGGAUGACGUCAAAUCAUCAUGCCCCUUAUGACCUGGGCUACACACGUGCUACAAUGGCGUAUACAACGAGUUGCCAACCCGCGAGGGUGAGCUAAUCUCUUAAAGUACGUCUCAGUUCGGAUUGUAGGCUGCAACUCGCCUACAUGAAGUCGGAAUCGCUAGUAAUCGCGGAUCAGCACGCCGCGGUGAAUACGUUCCCGGGUCUUGUACACACCGCCCGUCACACCAUGAGAGUUUGUAACACCCAAAAGCCGGUGCGGUGGCCAUCAA
This 1435-nucleotide ribosomal RNA is filed under the name Weissella confusa. RNAcentral's name for it is "bacterial SSU rRNA". It matches the Rfam family "Bacterial small subunit ribosomal RNA". The record is from RNAcentral. Lineage: Bacteria; Bacillati; Bacillota; Bacilli; Lactobacillales; Lactobacillaceae.